UACGGAGGAUGCAAGCGUUAUCCGGAAUGAUUGGGCGUAAAGCGUCCGCAGGUGGCUAUGUAAGUCUGCUGUCAAAGACCGGGGCUUAACUUCGGAAAGGCAGUGGAAACUGAACAGCUAGAGUAUGGUAGGGGCAGAGGGAAUUCCUGGUGUAGCGGUGAAAUGCGUAGAGAUCAGGAAGAACACCGGUGGCGAAAGCGCUCUGCUGGACCUUAACUGACACUGAGGGACGAAAGCUAGGGGAGCGAAUGGG
Molecule: ribosomal RNA, 253 nt
Filed under: uncultured bacterium
Lineage: Bacteria
Description: partial 16S ribosomal RNA
Rfam family: Bacterial small subunit ribosomal RNA
Source: RNAcentral